RNAcentral lists this ribosomal RNA (1448 nucleotides) under uncultured bacterium. RNAcentral describes it as "bacterial SSU rRNA". It matches the Rfam family "Bacterial small subunit ribosomal RNA". The record is from RNAcentral.
GGACGAACGCUGGCGGCGUGCUUAACACAUGCAAGUCGAACGGAAAGGCCCUGCUUUUGUGGGGUGCUCGAGUGGCGAACGGGUGAGUAACACGUGAGUAACCUGCCCUUGACUUUGGGAUAACUUCAGGAAACUGGGGCUAAUACCGGAUAGGAGCUCCUGCUGCAUGGUGGGGGUUGGAAAGUUUCGGCGGUUGGGGAUGGACUCGCGGCUUAUCAGCUUGUUGGUGGGGUAGUGGCUUACCAAGGCUUUGACGGGUAGCCGGCCUGAGAGGGUGACCGGCCACAUUGGGACUGAGAUACGGCCCAGACUCCUACGGGAGGCAGCAGUGGGGAAUAUUGCACAAUGGGCGGAAGCCUGAUGCAGCAACGCCGCGUGCGGGAUGACGGCCUUCGGGUUGUAAACCGCUUUCGCCUGUGACGAAGCGUGAGUGACGGUAAUGGGUAAAGAAGCACCGGCUAACUACGUGCCAGCAGCCGCGGUGAUACGUAGGGUGCGAGCGUUGUCCGGAUUUAUUGGGCGUAAAGGGCUCGUAGGUGGUUGAUCGCGUCGGAAGUGUAAUCUUGGGGCUUAACCCUGAGCGUGCUUUCGAUACGGGUUGACUUGAGGAAGGUAGGGGAGAAUGGAAUUCCUGGUGGAGCGGUGGAAUGCGCAGAUAUCAGGAGGAACACCAGUGGCGAAAGGCGGUUCUCUGGGCCUUUCCUGACGCUGAGGAGCGAAAGCGUGGGGAGCGAACAGGCUUAGAUACCCUGGUAGCCCACGCUGUAAACGGUGGGUACUAGGUGUGGGGUCCAUUCCACGGGUUCCGUGCCGUAGCUAACGCUUUAAGUACCCCGCCUGGGGAGUACGGCCGCAAGGCUAAAACUCAAAGGAAUUGACGGGGCCCCGCACAAGCGGCGGAGCAUGCGGAUUAAUUCGAUGCAACGCGUAGAACCUUACCUGGGUUUGACAUGGAUCGGGAGCGCUCAGAGAUGGGUGUGCCUCUUUUGGGGUCGGUUCACAGGUGGUGCAUGGCUGUCGUCAGCUCGUGUCGUGAGAUGUUGGGUUAAGUCCCGCAACGAGCGCAACCCUUGUUCACUGUUGCCAGCACGUUAUGGUGGGGACUCAGUGGAGACCGCCGGGGUCAACUCGGAGGAAGGUGGGGAUGACGUCAAGUCAUCAUGCCCCUUAUGUCCAGGGCUUCACGCAUGCUACAAUGGCUGGUACAGAGAGUGGCGAGCCUGUGAGGGUGAGCGAAUCUCGGAAAGCCGGUCUCAGUUCGGAUUGGGGUCUGCAACUCGACCUCAUGAAGUCGGAGUCGCUAGUAAUCGCAGAUCAGCAACGCUGCGGUGAAUACGUUCCCGGGGCUUGUACACACCGCCCGUCAAGUCAUGAAAGUUGGUAACACCCGAAGCCGGUGGCCUAACCGUUGUGGGGGAGCCGUCGAAGGUGGGACUGGUGAUUAGGAC